UUUUCAUGGUAUCGGAGCAGGAAAAUCUUCCGAUCCUUCUCUGUUAAGUGUUAUCGAUACUUGAUGAAACUUUUACUGAAGUUUUUCUUCGGUUAUCUGAGAAAAAUACUGUUCGUAUAUUUUUUCCGAUAUAUGUUAAUCGGUUAAUCGGGACUUUUCUGACUGUUUGAGACUUCGAUCUUGUUUCAGUAGAUGUUUUGGGUGAUUUUCCAACAUCUCUGAUUUUUUUUCGACGAGUUCUUCAAAUUCUAGGAUUUUUCGACUUCCGGACCUAGAGUUUUGGUGUUAUCCGAUGACUUUCUCUUCGCCUGAUGCACGUUUUGGCUAACUUUCCGGCGUCUGUGCCCUUAUUCCGGUGAGUUUCAGAACCUAGGGUUUCCGGUGUUGGACCUAGGGUUUUCUCUGUUGAUUGAAGGCCGAUCUUCUCCGGUCGCGAAGAAGGAGGGUAACUCUGUCCUUAUUUUGAGUAUUAUAUGCUUUGCAUGUGACUAUUUGGUUCCGUAUGUGAGUAUUUGGUUCCGUUACAUUUUGCUUGUCGAAAUUGUUUUUCUUUCAAGAUGGUUCAUUAAUCAUGGCUUCUAAUACCAAUGCUGGUACCUCCUCCUCGGUAGACUCUACCAGCCCCCUCUUUGUAUAUUCCUCUGAUGUCCCUGGGGUCUCUCUUGUCCCCAC
RNAcentral lists this long non-coding RNA (672 nucleotides) under Nicotiana benthamiana. Its description in RNAcentral is "long non-coding RNA (NBEN_LNC028701)". Lineage: Eukaryota; Viridiplantae; Streptophyta; Magnoliopsida; Solanales; Solanaceae. The record is from RNAcentral.